Molecule: ribosomal RNA, 1376 nt
Filed under: Vibrio harveyi
Lineage: Bacteria; Pseudomonadati; Pseudomonadota; Gammaproteobacteria; Vibrionales; Vibrionaceae
Description: bacterial SSU rRNA
Rfam family: Bacterial small subunit ribosomal RNA
Source: RNAcentral
GGAACGUUAAGGGCGUCGAGCGGCGGACGGGUGAGUAAUGCCUAGGAAAUUGCCCUGAUGUGGGGGAUAACCAUUGGAAACGAUGGCUAAUACCGCAUAAUGCCUACGGGCCAAAGAGGGGGACCUUCGGGCCUCUCGCGUCAGGAUAUGCCUAGGUGGGAUUAGCUAGUUGGUGAGGUAAUGGCUCACCAAGGCGACGAUCCCUAGCUGGUCUGAGAGGAUGAUCAGCCACACUGGAACUGAGACACGGUCCAGACUCCUACGGGAGGCAGCAGUGGGGAAUAUUGCACAAUGGGCGCAAGCCUGAUGCAGCCAUGCCGCGUGUGUGAAGAAGGCCUUCGGGUUGUAAAGCACUUUCAGUCGUGAGGAAGGUGGUGGAGUUAAUAGCUGCAUUAUUUGACGUUAGCGACAGAAGAAGCACCGGCUAACUCCGUGCCAGCAGCCGCGGUAAUACGGAGGGUGCGAGCGUUAAUCGGAAUUACUGGGCGUAAAGCGCAUGCAGGUGGUUUGUUAAGUCAGAUGUGAAAGCCCGGGGCUCAACCUCGGAAUAGCAUUUGAAACUGGCAGACUAGAGUACUGUAGAGGGGGGUAGAAUUUCAGGUGUAGCGGUGAAAUGCGUAGAGAUCUGAAGGAAUACCGGUGGCGAAGGCGGCCCCCUGGACAGAUACUGACACUCAGAUGCGAAAGCGUGGGGAGCAAACAGGAUUAGAUACCCUGGUAGUCCACGCCGUAAACGAUGUCUACUUGGAGGUUGUGGCCUUGAGCCGUGGCUUUCGGAGCUAACGCGUUAAGUAGACCGCCUGGGGAGUACGGUCGCAAGAUUAAAACUCAAAUGAAUUGACGGGGGCCCGCACAAGCGGUGGAGCAUGUGGUUUAAUUCGAUGCAACGCGAAGAACCUUACCUACUCUUGACAUCCAGAGAACUUUUCAGAGAUGAAUUGGUGCCUUCGGGAACUCUGAGACAGGUGCUGCAUGGCUGUCGUCAGCUCGUGUUGUGAAAUGUUGGGUUAAGUCCCGCAACGAGCGCAACCCUUAUCCUUGUUUGCCAGCGAGUAAUGUGGGAACUCCAGGGAGACUGCCGGUGAUAAACCGGAGGAAGGUGGGGACGACGUCAAGUCAUCAUGGCCCUUACGAGUAGGGCUACACACGUGCUACAAUGGCGCAUACAGAGGGCAGCAAGCUAGCGAUAGUGAGCGAAUCCCAAAAAGUGCGUCGUAGUCCGGAUUGGAGUCUGCAACUCGACUCCAUGAAGUCGGAAUCGCUAGUAAUCGUGGAUCAGAAUGCCACGGUGAAUACGUUCCCGGGCCUUGUACACACCGCCCGUCACACCAUGGGAGUGGGCUGCAAAAGAAGUAGGUAGUUUAACCUUCGGGAGG